CCUACGGGAGGCAGCAGUCGAGAAUUUUUCACAAUGGACGAAAGUCUGAUGGAGCGACGCCGCGUGGAGGAUGAAGGUUUUCGGAUUGUAAACUCCUGUCACUACAGAACAAGGGUGCGAAGAUGAAUAGUCUUUGUAUUUGAUGGUAUGUGGAGAGGAAGGGACGGCUAACUCUGUGCCAGCAGCCGCGGUAAU
Molecule: ribosomal RNA, 195 nt
Filed under: uncultured Verrucomicrobiales bacterium
Lineage: Bacteria; Pseudomonadati; Verrucomicrobiota; Verrucomicrobiia; Verrucomicrobiales
Description: partial 16S ribosomal RNA
Rfam family: Bacterial small subunit ribosomal RNA
Source: RNAcentral